RNAcentral lists this ribosomal RNA (246 nucleotides) under alpha proteobacterium 1414. Its description in RNAcentral is "partial 16S ribosomal RNA". It matches the Rfam family "Bacterial small subunit ribosomal RNA", at positions 217 to 460 of the family's 1533-position model. The record is from RNAcentral. Lineage: Bacteria; Pseudomonadati; Pseudomonadota; Alphaproteobacteria.
GCCAUGAGAUGUGCCCGCGUUAGAUUAGCUAGUUGGUAAGGUAAUGGCUUACCAAGGCGACGAUCUAUAGCUGGUCUGAGAGGAUGAUCAGCCACACUGGGACUGAGACACGGCCCAGACUCCUACGGGAGGCAUGCAGUGGGGAAUAUUGGACAAUGGGGGCAACCCUGAUCCAUGCCAUGCCGCGUGUGUGAUGACGGCCUUAGGGUUGUAAAGCACUUUCAGCAGUGAAGAUAAUGACAUUAA